Molecule: non-coding RNA, 136 nt
Organism: Triticum urartu
Lineage: Eukaryota; Viridiplantae; Streptophyta; Magnoliopsida; Poales; Poaceae
Source: Rfam
AUUCUACUCCCUCCGUUGCACAAUACAUGCCUUCUAUUUGUCAAAAUAUAUAUGUAUCUAGACAUGUCUUAGUAAAUAGGUACAUCCAUUUUUGGACAAAUGGAAGUCAAGUAUUUUGUAACAGAGGGAGUACACA